GUGCCAGCAGCCGCGGUAAUACGGAGGGUCCGAGCGUUGUUCGGAAUUAUUGGGCGUAAAGCGCACGUAGGCGGCUGGGUAAGUCUCACUGUGAAAGCCCGGGGCUCAACCCCGGGAGGCCAGGGGAUACUGCUCGGCUGGAGACAGGCAGAGGCUGGUGGAAUUCCGGGUGUAGCGGUGGAAUGCGUAGAGAUCCGGAGGAACACCUGAGGCGAAGGCGGCCAGCUGGGCCUGAUCUGACGCUGAGGUGCGAAAGCGUGGGGAGCGAACAGGAUUAGAUACCCUGGUAGUCCACGCCGUAAACGAUGGGCACUAGAUGCCGGUGGGAACGACCCCUUCGGUGUCGCAGCUAACGCAUUAAGUGCCCCGCCUGGGGAGUACGGCCGCAAGGCUGAA
This 396-nucleotide ribosomal RNA is filed under the name uncultured bacterium. RNAcentral describes it as "bacterial SSU rRNA". It matches the Rfam family "Bacterial small subunit ribosomal RNA", at positions 505 to 898 of the family's 1533-position model. The record is from RNAcentral.